RNAcentral lists this ribosomal RNA (483 nucleotides) under Blastocystis sp. RNAcentral's name for it is "SSU rRNA". It matches the Rfam family "Eukaryotic small subunit ribosomal RNA", at positions 460 to 954 of the family's 1831-position model. Lineage: Eukaryota; Bigyra; Opalinata; Blastocystidae. The record is from RNAcentral.
GGAGGUAGUGACAAUAAAUCACAAUGCGGAACUAUUAGUUUUGCAAUUGGAUUGAGAACAACGUACAAACCUUAUCGAUAAACAAUUGGAGGGCAAGUCUGGUGCCAGCAGCCGCGGUAAUUCCAGCUCCAAUAGCGUAUAUUAACGUUGUUGCAGUUAAAAAGCUCGUAGUUGAAGUGAAGUGAACAAAGAAGAGAAGAAUCUUCGGAUUCGGAUCUAAUGCGUUGACUCUUUCCAAAGUCAAUGUAUGGGUAUUCAUUUAUCUAUAUAUUGUGUUUGGUCGUUUACUGUGAGAAAAUUAGAGUGUUCAAAGCAGACGUUUGUUUGAAUACAUUAGCAUGGAAUAAUCAUAUAGGGCUUUCAUGUGUAUUUGAUUGGUUUGGAUAUGAAAGCAAGGUUAAUAGGGACAGUUGGGGGUAUUCAUAUUCAAUAGUCAGAGGUGAAAUUCUCGGAUUUAUGGAAGAUGAACAAGUGCGAAAGCAA